AGUUUAAUGUAUUAUAUAUUAAAUAUUUUCUGCUCAAUGAUUAUUUACUAAUUAAAUAGCCGCAGUACCUUGACUGUGCUAAGGUAGCAUAAUAACUUGGCCUAUAAUUGAGGUCUAGGAUGAAAGGAGACACCUAUAAAUAACUGUCUUAUUAAAGCUUAACCCGAAAUUUUUUAUUAGGUGUAAAUACCUAAAUAAAUAUAUUAGACGAGAAGACCCUUAGAGUUUUUAUUACUAUUACUAUAAUAUUUUUGUUGGGGCAACAUAGGAACAAUUAAUCUUCCUUAAUAUGAGCAAUAACAUGCCGAAUUUAUAUUAUGAUUGAUUAUAACUACCUAAGGGAUAACAGCAUUAUCUUUAAUAAGGAUUGUGACCUCGAUGUUGGAUUAGGUAAAUUUGAUAUAAGCAAUAUCAUCUAAAAGUUCUGUUCGAACUCUAGCACCU
This 444-nucleotide ribosomal RNA is filed under the name Corilla fryae. RNAcentral's name for it is "partial 16S ribosomal RNA". Lineage: Eukaryota; Metazoa; Mollusca; Gastropoda; Stylommatophora; Corillidae. The record is from RNAcentral.